CUACGGGCCGCUGCAGUGGGGAAUUUUGCGCAAUGGGGGAAACCCUGACGCAGCAAUACCGCGUGAGUGAAGAAGGCUUUUGGGUCGUAAAGCUCUUUAUCUUAAGGAAGAAAUAUGACGGUACUUAAGGAAUAAGCACCGGCUAACUCCGUGCCAGCAGCCGCGGUAAUACGGAGGGUGCAAGCGUUGUUCGGAAUCACUGGGCGUAAGGAGUGCGUAGGCGGUCUAAUAAGCUAAAUGUGAAAUCCCUAAGCUUAACUUAGGAAUUGCAUUUAGAACUGUUAGACUAGAGAUGUUUAAGGGCAGAUGGAAUUUCUGGUGUAGAGGUGAAAUUCGUAGAUAUCAGAAGGAACGCCCGUAGCGAAGGCGGUCUGCUGGAAACAAUCUGACGCUCAGGCACGAAAGCAUGGGUAGCAAACAGGAUUAGAUACCCCGGUAGUC
RNAcentral lists this ribosomal RNA (441 nucleotides) under uncultured bacterium. RNAcentral's name for it is "partial 16S ribosomal RNA". It matches the Rfam family "Bacterial small subunit ribosomal RNA", at positions 339 to 795 of the family's 1533-position model. The record is from RNAcentral.